RNAcentral lists this microRNA precursor (68 nucleotides) under Vicugna pacos (alpaca). Its description in RNAcentral is "miRNA (ENSVPAG00000016621.1)". The record is from RNAcentral. Lineage: Eukaryota; Metazoa; Chordata; Mammalia; Artiodactyla; Camelidae.
CGUGGGUGUGUGAGUAUGUACGUAUGUGUGGGUGUCUGUACAUAUAUACACACACACAUAUACAUAUA